RNAcentral lists this ribosomal RNA (465 nucleotides) under uncultured bacterium. RNAcentral's name for it is "partial 16S ribosomal RNA". It matches the Rfam family "Bacterial small subunit ribosomal RNA", at positions 342 to 795 of the family's 1533-position model. The record is from RNAcentral.
CGGGGUGCAGCAGCAGUGGGGAAUAUUGGACAAUGGGGGAAACCCUGAUCCAGCAAUGCCGCGUGUGUGAAGAAGGCCUGCGGGUUGUAAAGCACUUUCGGUUGGGAGGACUGCUUCUAGCACUAAUAUUGUUGGAAGUUGACGUCACCUUCAGAAGAAGCACCGGCUAACUCCGUGCCAGCAGCCGCGGUAAUACGGAGGGUGCAAGCGUUAAUCGGAAUUACUGGGCGUAAAGCGCGCGUAGGCGGCUAGAUCAGUCGGGUGUGAAAGCCCCGGGCUUAACCUGGGAACUGCAUCCGAUACUGUCUAGCUUGAGUACAGGAGAGGAGAGUGGAAUUCCACAUGUAGCGGUGAAAUGCGUAGAUAUGUGGAGGAACACCAAUGGCGAAGGCAGCUCUCUGGCCUGAUACUGACGCUGAGGUGCGAAAGCGUGGGGAUCAAACAGGAUUAGAUACCCCGGUAGUC